CAGAAACAGCGUUCAAUGCAGCAAUGGAGGAGAAGGGUACGAAACCCUUAAGGUAAUUUCAAAACGCCGUAACUUUCCAAUUCGAGCUCCGAUUGCCGUACUGUUUGCGGCUACGCGACUACCGCGUCGAGCUCUACGAUUCUACCAAAACAUUUCAUAGGUUGUGAAUAAAUAAUUGGAGCUUGAAAUUGUGGAUAUUGGAACUUGGAAGAAGUUGAAUACUAGUGUUUUAUUGAAGUCUUUGGGCUGUGUUUACUUUAGUGAGUUGCCUUGAUCAUUACGAGGAAAUCGACCAAGAUACAGGUCGAGAGGCACCUCCUUAGGCGUCUGAGUUUCUAAAGCGAAGUGGUUAUCAGGUUACUUAUUGGAUUGUAUAGUCUUAUAUAUCUGUGCACCUAGUAUUCUCUCUGCAUGACUUGUUCCUAUUGAUCCUCUUAGAGGCUUAUGGAGAGAUAGGAUUUUGUUUAUAUAAAUUUGGAUUUUGGAUAUGUAUAUAUAUGUGUAAAUAUUUUCCGGCCAUUCUUGACUUCGCGGGCUGAGUUAGGAGCUUGUUAUUUUGUAUCUUUGACCAUCUAUUCCUACUUUGUUAUCUUAUGCUUGAUAG
Arachis stenosperma is the source of this 604-nucleotide long non-coding RNA. RefSeq lists it as uncharacterized. NCBI's taxonomy places the organism in Eukaryota, Viridiplantae, Streptophyta, Magnoliopsida, Fabales, Fabaceae. The record is from RefSeq and is a predicted model, not a curated record. The transcript has 3 exons.